AGCCUUCUGUAUCCGUGCUGAGAUUUCGUCAGAGAUCAACCCGUUAGGGCUGAUGCAACUUCCCAAAUAAGUGAAGCG
Non-coding RNA from Trichobilharzia regenti, 78 nucleotides. Lineage: Eukaryota; Metazoa; Platyhelminthes; Trematoda; Strigeidida; Schistosomatidae. The record is from Rfam.